RNAcentral lists this ribosomal RNA (473 nucleotides) under uncultured bacterium. RNAcentral's name for it is "SSU rRNA". It matches the Rfam family "Bacterial small subunit ribosomal RNA", at positions 26 to 518 of the family's 1533-position model. The record is from RNAcentral.
AGGAUGAACGCUGGCGGCGUGCCUAACACAUGCAAGUCGAACGUCCUGUCUCGCAAGAGGCAGGGAGUGGCGGACGGGUGAGUACCACGUGGGUCAUCUACCGUGAGGUGAGGAAUACCGGCGAGAAAUCGCCGACAAGACCGCAUAGGCUCGAUGCAAGUCGAGCAAAGCUCUUUCGAGAGAGGGAGCGCCACACGAGGAGCCUGCGCCCGAUUAGCUAGCUGGUGGAGUAACGGUUCACCAGGGCGACGAUCGGUAGCUGGUCUGAGAGGACGAUCAGCCACACUGGGAUUGAGAACGGCCCAGACUCCUACGGGGGGCAGCAGUGAGGAAUUUUCGUCAAUGGGGGCAACCCUGAACGAGCAACGCCGCGUGCAGGAAGAAGGUUUCGGAUCGUAAACUGCUUUUCUCGGGGAAGAGAAUGGACGGUACCCGAGGAAUCGAGCCCCGGCUAACUACGUGCCAGCAGCCGC